RNAcentral lists this ribosomal RNA (422 nucleotides) under uncultured prokaryote. RNAcentral describes it as "bacterial SSU rRNA". It matches the Rfam family "Bacterial small subunit ribosomal RNA", at positions 355 to 774 of the family's 1533-position model. The record is from RNAcentral.
UGAGGAAUAUUGGUCAAUGGGCGAGAGCCUGAACCAGCCACGUAGCGUGAAGGAUGAAGGUCCUAUGGAUUGUAAACUUCUUUUAUAGUAGAAUAAAGUGAGCCACGUGUGGUUUUUUGUAUGUAUACUAUGAAUAAGGAUCGGCUAACUCCGUGCCAGUAGCCGCGGUAAUACGGAGGAUCCGAGCGUUAUCCGGAUUUAUUGGGUUUAAAGGGUGCGUAGGCGGAAUAAUAAGUCAGUUGUGAAAGUUUGCGGCUCAACCGUAAAAUUGCAGUUGAUACUGUUAGUCUUGAGUGUACAUAAGGUAGGCGGAAUUCGUGGUGUAGCGGUGAAAUGCUUAGAUAUCACGAAGAACACCAAUUGCGAAGGCAGCUUACCGGGGUACAACUGACGCUGAGGCACGAAAGUGUGGGUAUCAAACA